Prunus dulcis (almond) is the source of this 613-nucleotide long non-coding RNA. RefSeq lists it as uncharacterized. Lineage: Eukaryota; Viridiplantae; Streptophyta; Magnoliopsida; Rosales; Rosaceae. The record is from RefSeq and is a predicted model, not a curated record. The transcript has 3 exons.
UGUAGUCAUAUUUCUAUACAUAUAGUUAGGUUACCAUGCCGUCUCUUGUUUCUCAACAUCUCUCCAAAACAAAACAUAAUGCUCAUAUUUUUCUCAACAUCUAUCAACCUCAAUUUCCCCACAAGUUCAUAGGAAGGAGACACUGUUGCGGCAGACGGUACUUCUCUGAGUCCAAAUGGAAGGCUCCAAGCCAGAGUAUCUCGGGGACCCCUAGUAAUUUUGCAUCAAAGGCCAUUUGCUUGCAUACAAAAGAAUUGACUUUAUCAGAAGUUUUCAAUCCUCAAUAUUUGCAGUCUUCCUUCCUACUUAGUUCAUAUGUUAGUUAAGUUCGUAAACUAUACAUAACUAGUUUACAGAUUGAUCAAGAAGCCUAACCAUGGAACCAAACCGAUACAAAAGGGAAUAGACAAAAGGGAAAAGAAAGCACAAACAGCAUAAGUUGCUGAACAAUUACUAGAACACUAAGCAAAACAUCUGAAACGGAUUCGGCGAACCAGGCAUUCAGUAACUGGUACCUUGCAUAAAUCUCUUGUACAUUUAUGAUAGAGUUCAAUUGUCUAUUAAUGUCGUUAUGAGGUUGAUAGUUUGACAACAUAACAUCCACAAAUCUUUG